RNAcentral lists this ribosomal RNA (253 nucleotides) under uncultured bacterium. RNAcentral's name for it is "partial 16S ribosomal RNA". It matches the Rfam family "Bacterial small subunit ribosomal RNA", at positions 524 to 776 of the family's 1533-position model. The record is from RNAcentral.
GACGAACCGUGCGAACGUUAUUCGGAAUCACUGGGCUUAAAGGGCGCGUAGGCGGGUUGCCAAGUCUGUGGUGAAAUCCUCCAGCUUAACUGGAGAACGGCCGUGGAUACUGGCGACCUCGAGGGGGGUAGGGGCUUGCGGAACUGUGCGUGGAGCGGUGAAAUGCGUUGAUAUGCACAGGAACUCCGGUGGCGAAGGCGGCGAGCUGGACCCUUUCUGACGCUAAGGCGCGAAAGCCAGGGGAGCGAACGGG